CUUUCUUUCCUCCCACAAUGUAUAAAACCUGGUAACAAGGUUGUGGCAAAUACCUUUGGCUGGCAAUAUCUUGGCAAGAAGUUGAGACGAUUAUUUGGAAAGACAAAAGGAAUAUUAAAGAUGGAAGACGACCUUCUCUCCGUAGACCAAACUAGCAAAUCCACCGGGGGCAACUCUCUCUCCCUCCCUCCCUUUGCCUUGGCUGUCAAGAUUAUGAUGAGGAAAUAAGAGUCCUGAAGGUCCAGUGGAUGGCCUAGAAUGCAGUGGAUGGCCUUGAUGUCUUAUAUGAUCAAGUUCCGAGUUCUCCACAGCGCCUUCUUCAGCGGUCUUCAUGGCCAUUGGGAUGACUCUCACCUCCCCCUUCCAUUAGGGAAGUCUUCACGUGUUUGGGAGUACACUCCCCCCCAACAUGGUGAUGGGUCUGAUGCCUUCAAUUACUCUCACCUGGUUCCGCCCAUUUGCAGAGACAAUUUUACUGGGGUGUAGCUGCUGUUCACGCAACAACUCCUUGGAGCUACAGAUGGCGAGUAAUCCAAUAUAUAUUAAACACGCAGUUCUUCUCUCCAUGUUUCCACAACUAUCUGGCUGCACAAGAAAAAUCAGAUCAAAAAGGAAAAUAAUGAGAAAGAAAGUAAAAUGCAAGCGAACAACAAGAAAAAGAGUGAGAAUGUUAUGUUGUGAUCCACACUCAGUUCCCAUAAUCCUCUCUCUGGAUGCUGAUGGCUCUCUCCAACACAAGGUCAUUGGAACUGCAUUGAAUCACCUCCCUGUUUGAAAAGAGCCACGUCCAUCAGAAUUGAUCAUUGUAUAAUCUUGUGGCCGUGUACAAUGAUCUCCCGGUUCUGCUCAUUUCACCCGGCAUCAGUUCAU
This 870-nucleotide long non-coding RNA is filed under the name Sarcophilus harrisii (Tasmanian devil). Its description in RNAcentral is "lncRNA (ENSSHAG00000031628.1)". Lineage: Eukaryota; Metazoa; Chordata; Mammalia; Dasyuromorphia; Dasyuridae. The record is from RNAcentral.